CUCCAACAGAGUACCCAAACAGAAGACCCAUUUUGGAUAUCAGGAGAGGCAUAACCCCAAAUUUGGGUAUCCUCUCUCCUCGAGACCUAUUUGCAGAGAGUGUUGUCUUUUAGGUCUUGUUGUUGGAGAAGACUAAAAAUAGGUAUCGAACUUUUUACCUGUAGCGCUACCCAAAGGACAAAUGGGUCUUGUAUUUUGGGUGACGAUCGUUGGAGAUAGUGUAAGACGAGCAUCUCCUCGCCUGCUUGCUUCUCUGCGACGGGAUCCUCUGAUGUCAACUUCACUGUAACGACUCUUCUUUCGUGACCUCUAUUUAUCUCUCGUAAAUACAGAACCAGUGCAUGCCCAAUGGCCGAAGCAUGCCACUAGAUCAUAUUACCCACAUGAAUACAUGAUACAACAUUCCUGGAACCCAUCAACUUCUACAAAUAUUCAUCAAAUAGACAAUUAACCUACUCCCAAACAGUGGCAACCGAGCAUGCCACACGGCUUACUAAUAAUUUAAAGAAACAUGAGCAUAUGGCUAUGCAUUUCCAAACAUUACAUAAACAUAUCCCACAAAAAAAACAAUGAUAAAACCCUAAUAGAAAUUGUUUAACAUUCAUGAAUGUGAAAAGAGUUCAACAGAUCGCGUCACAUUAAUACCUCAUAGCAGUCAAACAGCUCAGCAGGAUAAAUGGUUCCUAAAAAGUCACAUAACAGUUCAAAAAUAAAACCUAAAUCAACGCGUACACUAGGCUACAACUCAACUCCACAGUUGCAGCUGCCUGAGACUUUUGAGAUGCGUGACAUGCAUCUUGCAUAUGCUGCUGCUCAGGUUAUCUCCUUGCAUAUGCUGCUGCUCAGGCUAUCUCCCACCAAUAGUCAGCCCUUCAAAUAAAAAAUAGCUAUCAGCAAGCAUAUUUUUCUAUAACACACUGAAUUUUCUCAAAUAUGGAAAAUUUAUUUGCAUUAAUGAACGAUAAUCAUGCACUGACAACCUCUGCAGGUUCUUCCACUUGAGCUUCUGCCCCUGCAGGUUCUUCCACUUGAGCUUCUGCCCCUGCAGGUUCUUCAUUUCCCUGGGAAACAAAGGUACUGAACAUACCAAAUAAAAAAGGUUAGAUAAUUGAAGCCAAUUUAUUUUAAUCAAGAAUAAAAGUAAUCUAUUCAUAUUAGAUUAUUCUUUGAGUUCAAUCAAAUAUGGGACAGAUACUACCUUUUCCAGUGUUUAAAAGUAUCUCGUAGCUGCCAAACAGUCCAUGCUUGCCAGUGUCUCUGAUCAAGAUAUGUUAUCCCCACGAGAUCACCAGACAAAUUGAACAAUGGUGAUCCUAAGUAAGCAUACUCAUGCAUAGGGCAAUCAUGAAAUAGAACUCUGCUACAAACACCUCUGUUUAUUAAAGAAGAAAAAACAUCAUUAAUUUUUUUUAGACAACAAUAUUACAUAUAAUGUGAUAAUAUAUGAGAGAUCUUACGUUACUGAACCUCUGCAAUAACCGGUUGGUGUAAUAUACCCUUCUCUAGGAAAAACAAAUGAAUCAACAGGAUCACCAACUUGAACAGACUGAGUCUCAAACCUGACUGCUUUUAUAUAGCCAUUUUCUCUUGGCUUAGCAUCAAAUAUAUAGAAACCUUCAGCAGAUUCAAAGGCAGCAAGAACAGCAGAUUUUUUGCGCUUACGAACAGCAACAAGUUUUUGUCCUUCUUCAUAUCCUGUAGCAUUUGGGAAGUUCACUGCAAAAUUUUUUCUCAUCCCAAAAAAUGUGGAAUUCGCUGCUAUGACAGCAGACCCAUCAUCCUUGAUUGAAAGAAUAAUGCCAGCAAUAACCAUAAACCGCCUGUCCUUCGACUUCGGCAUCCAGUCAAAAGAUAUACGCACAAUUGACCUACGGACCUCCUCCUUAAUAUCUUGGGACUGCUGUUAACAAGAAAUUUUUUUUAUUAAAAAAAAAACAGAAAACCAGAUAGGGAUUAGGUAAACCAUCACAGAAAGAAGUGACGGACCUGCUGCUCCAUGAAAACGGCGCCAAUCUACGGAAGAGGAGAAGGGAAUGAGGAUGGCACCGACUGGCCGGCGCAGGACCUGCUCGCAGCUGUGAGCGUGAAUACCACCUCCCUCCGCACCGCAGCGUGCCUUGGACAGGCGCUAGGGAUAAGAGGGCAGAUCGUACCUUGGGAAUCAGCCGUCGACUCGUCGUGCUGCGCUCGUACUCUUGCCGGCUUCAGGAUCCGCUCCUGCCCCCUGGAACCUCGCCCUCCAAAUCCCGCCGUGCGCCGUCCUGACAGUUGCGCUUGCGCCUGACGCCGCUGGAUCUGAAGGACCAGGACAGCGACGGCACAAGCAGGAGGAUGAGGAACGGAUCUGAGGACCGAAGAGCAAGGCAGCCGCCGACCGACGCCCAAGCCCACCAAUGAGCAGUCGGGGAUUCUGUUGAGGGGUUUCGUGUUGUAGAGAUCCCGACAAGGCGACAACGGUCUUUAACAAAUGUGCCCUCGGAUACGAACGAAAGGUUGACAUACAGGAUACUCCCUCCGUACCUGUUAUUUUUUAGGUUCUGGGCCGGUGAGAAGAAUUCGCAAAGCUUGACGUUGCACAGCCGCAUACUCUAAUACGGACGCAAUUGCCCCUGCAUGUGCCUCGCCACCCGUAUGCGACUGCUCGGCUUCACCCGUAGUUAAUUGUGCUGCCUCACGAGGAUGACUUUGUCGCCAAUACGCUGGCACAGCACGCGUCAAGGCAGCACGCUCGCACCCAGGCCAAACCCUUCAUGCUAUCAAGCGCAUGCAUGGGAAGAGUGCCAUGUAAAAUAAUUAAAAAAAAGUGCUACACAAAAAAGGCUUGGCAAAUCAAAAAAUAGUAUCUCCAAAGGAGUCGAACCGGCUACCUCCAUCUCAAGACAUAGAGGUCUCACCAAUCGAGCUAUACUAGGCUAUUGCAAAGGAAACACACGCAGCGCUAUUUAAUAGGGGCAAAGUAGAAAAACUAACCUCUACUUAAUCACUUCUUGGUUACCACAAUCCUGUCCUAAACGUCAACUAAUUCAGGUAUGGAGGGAGUACAAUAUAAGGCCUUGUUUAGUUCACCCUGAAAACCAAAAAGUUUUCAAGAUUCUCCGUCACAUCGAAUCUUGGAGCACAUGCAUAAAGCAUUAAAUAUAGACGAAAACAAAAACUAAUUACACAGUUUAGCUGUAAAUCACGAGACGAAUCUUUUGAUCCUAGUUAGUUCAUGAUUGGAUAAUAUUUGUCACAAACAAACGAAAGUGCUACAGUACCGAAAAAUUUUCACUUUUCAGAACUAAACAAGGCCUAAAACUCAUGACACUAGGGUCUUGUUCCUGAAAACCAAAAAAAUUUCAAGAUUUCCCAUCACAUCGAAUCUUAUGGCACAUGCAUGAAACAUUAAAUAUAGACAAAAAUAAAAACUAAUUACACAGUUUAGCUGAAAAUCACGAGACGAAUCUUUUGAUCCUAGUUAGUUCAUGAUUGGAUAAUAUAUGUCACAAACAAACGAAAGUGCUACAGUACCGAAAAAUUUUCACUUUUUGGAACUAAACAAGGCCUACCAGCUCCACGUGGCGUGACUUGCGCAAAAAAUGAAGAUGUUGCAACAUUCAGGUAUUUUGAGGCAAUUUCAUACUUAAAUUAUCAGUCACAACAAAUCAACUUAGAAAUUUAAAAAAAAUAAGUGUAACUAGAAAUUCAGAUGUGAAGCUAGAGUACAUGGGGUGUUUAGAUACCUCUUACUAAAGUUUAGUCCCCUGUCGUAUGGGAUGUUUAACAAUAAUUUAAAAUAUAAAAUAUAGACUAGUUAUAAAACCAACUCCAUAAAUCAAGACUAAUUUUGCGAGACAAUAAAUCUAUUAAACUUAAUUAUUUCAUAAUUUGAUAACGUAGUGCUACAGUAUAUUCAGCAAACCUUAAUUAGCUCUUGAAUUAACUAAUGUCAUUUAACAUAAUAUAAUAUACACUAAUUAUGCAAUCACGUUGCUAGGUGGGAGCCACCUUUAUAUCCAGCAAGCCAAGCCCGUAGAAAACAAAAAUAAAACUCGUUUUCGAGGAGCCAAACUGAGGAAGCUUUUUGCAUCCCGUAGAACAGGCUCUACGGCCUUAUCUAGAUCAAAAAGCUUUUGGAUUUAAACACUAUAACACAUUCUUUUGUAUUUGAUAAUUAUUAUUUAACUAUAAACUAAUUAAAUUUAAAAGAUUUAUCUCGUAAAUAACAGAUAAACUAUAUAAUUAAUAUUUUUUUAUUUAUAUUUAAUGUUUUAUAUAUGUAUCUAUAAUGAGAAAUAUUAAAAUGUUUUUAGAUUUUAAAUAAAACUAAACAAGACCUACGUAUGCAUACUGUCACACUGACGCACACGCACUCAGCCCCGCCUCAGGAAUGAAAGGCCACGUGUCGAUGUGUUUGAAAAAUCUAUUACCAUAUAAGGCCUCGUUUAGUUCGAAAAAAUUUGAGAAAUCGACACCGUAGCACUUUCAAUCAUGGAGUAACUAAACUUAAAAGAUUUAUCUCGUGAUUUACAGGUAACUGUGCAAUUAGUUUUUAUUUUUAUCUACAUUUAGAGCUCUAUGCAUGUGCCACAAAAUUCGAUGUGACGGGAAAUUUUGAAAAGUUUUUGGUUUUUGGGGUGAACUAAACAAGGCCUUAGUCAAUAUGGACUCAUAGGCCUUGUUUAGAUCCAAAAACUUUUUGGAUUUUGAUACUGUAGCACUUUUGUUUUUAUUUGACAAAUAUUGUCCAAUCAUGGAGUAACUAGGCUUAAAAGAUUCGUAUCGUGAUUUACAUGUAAACUGUGCAAUUAAUUAUCUUUUUUAUCUAUAUAUAAUGUUUUAUACAAGUGCCGCAAGAUUCGAUGUGAUGGGAAAUCUUGUAAAGUUUUGGAUUUUUAGGUGCAUCUAGCCUAAGUCCUUUCUGCGUGGUGCUCGUAUUUGGCCACCGUGACUAAGUAGAUACAAUGUUUAGUUUUGUCCUAUGAAAAUAUGUCGCAUGAGACAAAAUGUGUAAGGCAAAAAUUGCUAUCAUAUUUAUUGUAUAUAAAUAUGUUUUACUAGUCUUAGUUUUUCUUAUUAAAUCUUAAUUACCUCUUAAAUGCACAAUGUCAUUUAAUAUAUACAAUAUAUACUAAUUAUGCAACAAUGUUGUUAGCUGGGAGCGACCUCAUGUCCAGCAAGCCAGGCCCGCAAAAAACAAAAAUAAAACUCGUUUUCGACGAGCCAAGCUAAGGAAAGCUUUUUCAUCCCAGCUGAGCAUUCUUAUUUUUGCAAAAAAAGUUUUUAAAAAAACUAUCCAAUUGCAUUUUAGUUAACUUGACAUAUUCCUAGCCAGAUUUGGCAUAUAUGUCAACCGUGUAUUGCGCUUGCCAUUAUAUAGCCCCGCGCUGCCACCGCCGUUUUCUUCUCGCGAAAAGUUGAAGGCUACGAUCUUUCAGUUCUAGACAUCGCUGGACAAUGCCGGCUUGAUGGAGUCGUCGGCGACAUGGAUUCCGUCUAGGACGAUAACAUAUUGAUGAUGCUAUAGAGUAUAGCAACCCCCGGCGGCGAUUUAGCCCGACCUAGCUGAAGUCGUCUCUGUCGCCCUAAUCUUCCAGUAUGCUAGCUACAUUCCAAGAAGCCCUUGCGGCUGCAAGCUGCAAGCAGUCUCUGUCACUUUGAUCCAUUCUCUUCCUUCAAGUGCACACACGACCGGGAAUGGAAGGCGGCGGCAUUAGGAAUAGCGCGCGAAGAAAUAUGCGCGACCGAGUCGACAGCGUGAAGAAAAAUUUCGCCUGAAAAAAUAACCGAUGGGUUCAUACUUUGGGUUUUGCCAACUCAAUUUUGCCAAACCAUUAGAGAUAACUUUUUUUUCUUCUUUCCAUAUUGAUUUAAGACUUGGCAAACUCUAUGUUUUGCCAAAGAUAAAAUACAAAACCGUUGGAAAUGCUCAUGCUCAUGUCUUUACCCAAACAAGUGAAAACUGAAUUCCGUCAGCCUCAGUCAAAUGAGCCCCUCACUGGAGUUCAAGCGAACAGGGCCAUAGACAGACUCGUCACGGUCCUUAAUAAAUCUAUCUUUUGAGCCUAGUUAAUCUAUAAUUAAAUAAUAAUUAUUAAAUACAAAUAAAAUGUUAUAUUAGCUAAAACUAAAAUUUUCACCAACUAAACAGCCCCUACGUAUGCAUACUGACACACAACACACACACCCCCCCAACCCCCAAUCUCAUGGAUGGAAGGUUUACGUGUCGAUGAGUAUAUGAGUGGCAUGAACAAAAAAUAAUCAGUUCCAUAUCUUAGAGCCUAGUCAAGAUACGCAGUCAAAAGUCAAAAUACAUGCAAGAUAAUAUGAUAUCAUAAUAAUAAUAUUAUAUGCUUCCACCCUAAUUAUUCCAAUAUAUAUAUAUAUAUAUAUAUAUAUAUAUAUAUAUAUAUAUAUAUAUAUAUAUAUAUAUAUAUAUAUGCUAACUAAAAAAAAUGUUUAAGAUAGUAGUAGAUUACAAAUUCUGCUAGAGCCUACAGCUAAAGGCGACAGCGGUCAGAGUCAAGAGAGAUGCAGCUCACCAGUCACCACUCACCACACAGCACGCAGCCGCGACAAUGGAGGAUUCCGGCGCCUGCUGGCCCCUACUGCUCCUACCACUUGCAGCCUCACUCCUCUUCUUGCUCUACUGCCGCAUCCAUGGCGGCCGCAAGAACUCAGCGCCCGGCAGUGAGGGCAACAACGGCCGGCUCCCUCCCGGCCCGCCGACGCUGCUCUUCCUGGCCAAGUUCCUGUCCCUCCGGCGCUCCGUCUUUGACCUGGGCCCGCUCCUCCGGGAGCUGCACGCGCGGCACGGCCCCGUCAUCUCGCUCCGCCUCCUCUUCGCCACGCACGUCUUCGUCGCCGACCGCCGCCUGGCGCACCGCGCGCUCGUCCACGGAGGCGCCACCUUCGCCGACCGCCCGCCGGUCGUCGAGCCGGAGGGCCUGUUCAGCGCCGGCGGCCGCGACAUCAACACCUCCCCGUAUGGCCCGUACUGGCGCCUCGUCCGCCGCAACCUCGCCACGGAGGCGCUGCAUCGUGGCCGCGUCGGCCUCUUCGAGCCGGCCAGGAGGUCGGCGUGCGACGCCCUCGUCACCAGCCUCAGCGCCAGCGCCGCCGCCGACGAGACGGCCACGCUGAGGCCGUUCCUGCGGCGCGCCAUGUUCCAGCUGCUGGCGCACAUGUGCUUCGGCGCGCAGCUAGGCCGGGAGGUGCUCGACGAGAUCGAGGAGCUGCAGCACCGCAUGAUCCUGUCCUACACCACCUUUCCUAUCUUCGCCGUCUUCCCGGCGGUCACCAAGAGGCUGUUCCGCAAGCGGUGGGCGGCGUACGUCGCUCUGGCGCGGAGGAUGGACGAGGUGUUCGUUCCGCUGAUCCACGCCACGCGUGGCGGCGGCGGCGACGACCCGCCAUGCUACGCGGACUCGCUCCGCACGCUGCGCGUGGCCGAGGAGGGCGACCGGCCGCUCACGGACGCCGAGAUGACGAGCCUGUGCACCGAGUUCCUGACCGGCGGCACGGACACGACGGUGACGGUGGUGGAGUGGAUCAUGGCGGAGCUGGUGAACCACCCCGACGUCCAGGCCAAGGUGCACGACGAGGUGAAGAACGCACCGGACGGCGACCUCCAGCUCCAGGCGAUGCCGAUGCCGUACCUCAAGGCCGUCGUGCUGGAGGGCCUGCGGCUGCACCCGCCGGGCCACUUCGUCCUGCCGCACGGCGUGCGAGGCGACGCGGAGAUCGGCGGCUACACUGUGCCUAAAGGCGCGCAGGUGAACUUCCUGGUGGCGGAGAUGGGCCGCGACGAGACGGUGUGGACGGCGGCGCGCGAGUUCCGGCCGGAGAGGUUCGUGGACGGCGGCGAGGGGUGCGACGUCGACAUCACGGGGACCAAGGAGAUCAAGAUGAUGCCUUUCGGCGUCGGGCGGCGCAUGUGCCCCGGGUACGCGCUGGGCAUGCACCACGCCGAGUACUUCGUGGCGAGGUUGGUGCGGGACCUGGAGUGGCUGCCGCCGGCGGAUGGCGAGGUCGUCGACAUGGCGGAGCUGAUGGAGUUCACCACCGUCAUGAAACACCCGCUCCGAGCUCGCGUCGUGCCAAGGAACUGAUCGAACACUUGAAGGUCACAACUGGAGGAACCAAUUAGACUCUGCUUUGUCAGACUUGUGUGCUUUUCCCUCCUCUAGCUUGAGUUUAUCUGUUGAAUAUGUCAGCCCUUCAACAGUGCUCGAACAGUACUUCAGUCAUAAAUUAUCAACCAAGCGAACAUGCUCUGUGUGGCAGGUUGAUAUGUUACAUCUCUUCUUUAAAAUGGUAUUUUGUAUACUUUUUAUCAUUCCUUUAUUGGUGAUUUUGUUUUUAGUGUGAAAAAUAUUGCUAUUGCUUCAGUCUUUAUGUACUCUGCUUCCUGAAAAAUUGGAUUAUCAGCAUGUUUCUGUUCUGUUACUGGUUGCAAGGUAUUUUCCGAAACCAGAUGUCUAUGUAGGAAAGGGGGAAAAUACUGUGUGUAUCGUUCUUUAGGAUGAUGUCCUAACAUACUAGUAUUGUACUGCGAUGGGGUUUAGAAGAUUACAAAUUAGAUUUCCCAUCCAAUCCACAAAUAUACUAGGGGGGGAAAAACAUAACACUGGAUCCAUGGUCAUAUAAGUAAGCACAAAUCAAUUGGGCAACUUUCACAUGAAUUUUUUCCAGAUCUUGUGACAGUUGAUCAACUUCUCGAGGCAUCCGUGCAAAAUUUUGACACUCUAAAAAACACCCUCAUGCUUCAUACUUACAGUACGGUGCAUAGGUAGAAUUUUAUACUGUAUAACGUCAAAAAUGAAGUUAGCUUUAGCAAAUGGUACAUGCUAACAUGCAUCAUUUCUCAUCUCGCUUAAAUCGUCACAAAAACUUCUAGGAUGGAGGGAUGAAGGGAAUAAUCAGUAUUACAUCACCUAUGCAUAGGAGUAAUGCAGUCACCUUGGCAAGCAUAAAGCAAUUGUAGCAAUAGCCUCCAGUAUUACUAAGGAAGACAGCAGCUACCUGUAACAACCUCCCGUAUUACGGGUGUGCCAAACAAAAUUAUACAAGACACAAAAGAUCUUUGAGCUGUAAUGUUCCGUGCUUUCAUAGCUUCAUCAGAUCAAUGUUGCCUCUAAACCAUAUCACGAACUGCAAAUUGCAGCUACUAUCUUGUGGCCUAUACGAUCACUAGUUACGAUCACCAAAUUCCUUGCAGUUAUUCCAUUAUCAAUCUCAAAUCUAGUGCUUUGGAAAACUAUCUGUCACACCAUUUCUGCUUACCUAGCCAACCUAAAGCAUGGUGUUCCGGAAAGCUGAAACUAGUCUUGGUGAUAACAGCAGGACAAAUGCCAAGAUCGAGCCAAAGAACAUCUUGGUCAGGUAAUGCAUCAGGUCCAUGCUGGAAUCAGUGUCUCCAGGCUUUCUGGUUGCUAGUGCUGAAGCAGAGGGCAGGGCUUCGACUACAGCAUCUGCAAGGUCGGAGAUGAAUGUUGAAGUACAUCCAAGAGCAGGAACCCGACCCCAGUUCUUAAUGCCUGAUUCUAGAGCCAACUCCUUGUACUCCAUGUCGAUUUCUUCCAAUGUCUCAAUGUGCUCGCUCACAAAGCUGUAUUUGUCAUAAAUGGCUCAGAUUACAGGCAAUAAAGGGUGGUAUGAAAACAUCAGUAAUCACAGCAACAUACUCUUGACUAGUAAAAGAGUAAAGCAGAUACUAGCAUAACGUAAAACCCCAUUAAGACAUUCAUGGAUUGUAAAAACUAAGAUCUCAGAUUGUGUAGUUGUGUUCUAUGAACCAGUUUUAUCAUGCAAAAGAUCCAUUUAAGGAACGCAUCUAAUUCUAAAAUUAUUUGAAAUAAGAUCUUCAUUCAUUAAUACAAUUAUACAAGGGAACAUGCAAGCUUUUGCAAACAGAUAAUAUGCACAUAUAUGUUAUAACAUUAAAUUCAUAUUUCAUAAGGCUUUCAGACGUUCAAGAUUGCACCAGAGGUACGAAUGUCAUAAAUACAAACAAAAAUGACGAGCCAACAUGCAUCAUGAAAAUGCAUGCGAUAAACUAGACCCAAGGAAAAAAAGAUCAUAUAGAAGCUACAUGUUCCUUACCUCAUUUGUACCCCCAAAAAAGGAGAAUUACGAGAUGGCCAGAAAUGCUAAACUUGAUUACCUUACUGGAACAGCCAGGAGGCUCUUCACACCCUUUUGACCAAGUUCUACUAAAACUUCAUCAGUAUAUGGCUUCAGCCAUUGAACUGGCCCCACCCGACUCUGCAUGUACAAUAAAUGUUAACACUAGUAAAUGGUGACUAGAAGGAACUGGUAACUUGGAACUCUAUAAACUUGACAUUUUCCAUUUCUAGUUUUCUCACAAGGUGAUCGAACAUAUUUGAUCAUUCAAACAUAAGUGCACAACUCAGAGGUUAGUCAAACAAGUACCAAUUAAAUUUUAAUAGCUUAUACCUGGUAUGCCAAAGUGUAACUAUUUAAGAUUCCUCUUGAUCUCAACUCCCCCAUGAUCAAAGCAAUACAAUCCUCCAUCUGAUCUCUGUAAGGAUCUCCAGCAUCCUCAACAUAGGUAAGUGGCACACCAUGUGCACUGAAGAAUAUCAUAACCUGCCAUUCAUUUUCACAACAAUAAAAAGUAUUGUCAGAAUGAAAUUAAAGCAGAAUGUUUUCAUGAUUAUCUAUAAACUAACUGCAAUUCUGAAAGUGUCAUGGAGUUUUUUUUUUGUUAUUGUCUUAUAGAACUAAACAUUUGCAUUUAGCUACUAUCAACACAUUUGUAUAUAAUGUCAAGUUUAUCUAGAGAAAGAUACCUACAACAAUGCCAAAUAAUAGUUCAAAGAAAAUUUCUCUUUGAAAAGUUUAUCUAGUGAAUGGCUGUAAUGAAAUUUGGAAUGUGUAGAUGAAACAAGUAAUCCUCUGCUAUCACAUGCUAACUGUAGAAUAAAGAUGGAGGUAGAAUUAGGAAUAGGGCACCUCUUCAGGAUUGGAAAAGGCAGAUAGUUCUUUUUCAAUUAGGUCAGCCAUUGAUUUCACAUAGCCAUCUCGUUGGUACCAUGAUUCAAUAAUGGAAAUUGGCAAACCAGAAAAAUAUGAAUCUUCCCUGCAUGGAAACCAAUGCAUUAGCAUUUCAGGUUCUUGUAGCAUCAAAGACAAUAGGACCUCAUAUGCUAGAACUGGUGUCUUUGAUGGUGCCUCGCCAACCCAACUCAUGAGGUCUAGCAGGUCCCAAAGGGAUGUCUUUCAUUGCGUGAGGGAAUGAUUAGUGGUAAUGUUUUUGUUGGUUGUGGUAAUUUCUUGAGUUUAAGUGUGUACGUAAUGUUCAGUACCUAAGGGUGUGGUUUGUGUUGUUUGGUUUCUUUAUCCUCUCUUAUUAAGAUAAAUAUAUGCAGCUCUCUGUGUGUUAGAGAAAAAUAAAAGGGCCUCAUAUGGAGAAGGGAUCCUACUUGACAAUGUCUUGGAGAACACGAAUGCUUGACCCACUCGUUGAUAUGGAGUACUGAGGGUAAAGUGGAAGAACAACGAGCUUGGUAAUCUUAUCCUUCUUAAUCUAUCAUUAACCAAAAACAAGAAAUAGUUAAUCAUCAGACAAGAGUUGGGUGGACAAGAAGGAAUAAUCAUGAAAUCUGUUUGGUAUGAAACUCAUAUAAGAUAGGGUAAAAAUGUCAAAUAGAAUCAUGCAAACAUUGACUCCACAGAAGAAAAUUAUAUUCAGAAUAACUACAUUCCAGGUUACAUGUCAUUCUAGCUCCCAAAUCUCGAUAACAAACAUACUUCAGUCUAAAGUUUAAAGAUUACUUAAAUUUACUUUUCUGAUACAUCACCACUACACCAUCAUUACUAAAAGGUAAAUAAAUAAAUAAAUAAAUAAAUAACUUUCAACCAAAAUUGUAGUAGCCAGGUCAUUGACUUUGUCAAUUUUUCACAACAUCUUUUAUUCUCUUUUUGGAUUCAACCAAAGGAUCCGCCUAAACCAGUGCUGCUUGCAAAGAUGGAGUUAGCUAUCAUUUGCUUAUUCAUCGCUCAUACAUGGACAGGCUAACGCAUAUGCAGGCGGGGGUUAUUAGGGACAACUCUACAUACACCACUCAAUCAGGGUACUAUGGUCUUUUCAACACAUGACAAUGGUUUUCUGCUAGAUGCUAGAAUGGCAUGCAUUUGGAAACCGAUUGAAUGCUGAUGAGAUAUAAAAAGUGGGAAUGAGAAUUUACUUGAUCAAUGGCUUCUUCUGUGAAAGGGUACCAAUACCGCAUCCCAACAUAUAUAUUUGCGUUCAAGUUUUUCUUUUCCAGAGCAAUCUUCAAAGCAUUUGCCUGAAAUAUUAUUUUACUGAGAAUGUGAUUUACACUGAAAUGAUAUCAACAUGUCUUGGAAGAUUUAGAGAUUAACAAGUUUUGAACAAGCUGAUAAACCACAAUCAAUAAAACAGGUCAAAAGUAAAGAAAUGCAGCAAUAAUUUCAAAACACAGUCAGCCUUGUGAACUUAUACCUGUUCAUCAGUAAUUUUCCUUAACGGAGACCCACCACCGAUUGAAGCAUACCCUUCUUUACUCUUAGGAGCUCUAAAAGUAGAAAUAAGUUUAGCCAGUGGUCUUUGAAGAAACCUGAAGAGUCUAGGGAGUCGAAUGAUAUCCUGAUCAAUAAAAAGAAUUAUGAUAAUUUUCAAAAAUGAACUUACGAUGAAGAAAACAAAUUCAGUAGACUUACAAGGAAGAUAGAUACUGAAUUUAGAAAUUCAUAUAAUUAAUGACAGAUCUUAGUAAAUUAGCUAUUGCUAUGUUCAGUAGCACAGACACACAAAAGUUUUUUUGUUUAAGUUGCCACUUAUUCAAGAUUCAACUACCAGGGAAAAGAAUUGAAAUGGAAACUUCAAUUGGUAAAACACACAAAUAAGGUUCUUUUUUUCUUUAGGCUCUGCAAUUACUAUGCUGAAUAGUUCAGAAGCCUGUAUUAAGGAGUUGCAUAUAACCAUUCAAAGUUGUCAGAAUACACUCCAUAGAUUGGCUAGAUACAAUUAAUGAACAGGUCCACUGACAGGAAAAUUAUAAUGGUGGUGGUACAGUGGGGUAUAACAACUUACUGGAUCAGCAAAUAGGUUGAACAAAAAUGGUUGAACAUCGUCGAGGGUCUCUGGACCACCAAGAUUUAAUAACAGUACUCCAAUUUUUUCAUCACUAACACUGGAAGGUACAACUUCAUCAUCAUCAAAGGUGGUAACUGCAUUUGCAGAGGAAGAGCUAGCAGAAAGAUUCCACUGAUUUUUAAGUACUAGGCUUCUGUAAGCCAAACGAGAGGAUCCAUUUGCUGCUAAUUGCAACGGCUUAACAUUCCCAUGCAAGCUCAGCUCAUGUUUGGUAGAACCAGUAAAACUUGUAGAGGCUGUUUUGCCACAUGACCUGCCAAUAGUAGAACAACCAAUCAAAUAUAAAACCCAUGAUGUAUGCUUGGAUGCCAAUGCCAACAGAACAGAUGAUCCAAUUUGGAAGACAAAACACACACACACACACACACAAUUCAGUCUGUCCAUCCCCAGUGGCAAUAUCAUGUAAGCUCAGCUUGUAAGACAACACAUCUCUAGAAGACCAUACAAUUAGUAAUGUGAAGGAUGAAGUGUUUAAUAGCAUCAUGCCCUGAUUCACUAUGGGUUCAGAUCAAAAUGUCGACUAGCUAGCACCAAAUUUGAUUUAGAAAUAUAACUGAAAUGCUUACAUAUGUUCUCAAAUGCUUAUACGUAACCUAAAUGUCCAAUAGCAUCAUGCCCUGAUUUAGCAAUAUAACUCAAAAUGGACCUUUUAAACUCAUAGGUUUCAGUUUUCUGUGUAUUACGAAAUAACCAGCAAAUAACAGAUAUCAAUUUUUGGGGGUGGGUCCCAAAGCAUUGACCUUCUUCCAGAACAUACAAACCUGAAUAACAUGGUUUGUAAAUCCACGAUGGUAUGCCAUCUUGCCUGAAGAUUUAGAUACCAUCAACUCUUCUAGUAACAUAUCUUGAUUUGAGGAUCGAACAGAAAUUGAUCUUACUUCAAGUCACCAAGUAUAAUAAUUUCCGAAAUGAGGGUUGCUCUAGUGGGGAGACAACGGAUCACUAGUGAAAAAAGAAUAUUAUAAUGGAAAAAACAAAUGAUCGUCGUAAACAGUGCCAGAAUCCCGUGGCUUUAGUGCCCCAGCCAAGAGCAGUGGCAAAUUGAUUAAUUCUAGGAUUCCUUACAGCAUUUUGACAUCAACCAGGGGCGGACGGUACCCAACAAAGGACAUGGGUAUACACAUGUACACCCGUGCAUCCAAAAAAAAAAGGUCGAAGUUAGUACGCAUAACACAUGUAUACGCUUGUGAUUAGAUCAGAUCCGAAUACAAAUAGCCAAAUAGCUCAGGUUAGGGUUGGGGCGAUCAAUUUUGCGCAGCAAGGAACGGCAGAGAAGGGGCGGACGGGCAAGGGCAUACCCAGUGUGGGGAGUUCCCGUCGCCGGCAAAAGCGCCGACGAAGACAUGGGCAGCUGGGCGCAGGGCGUCGCCGGUCACCCUAGAUUUGUUGUCGGCUUCGCGCAGGCGCGGUGAACGGGAGAAGAGAAACGAUUUGCUCUAGCGUGAAGAGGAAGACCAGCAGAGCACCCCGCCGCGAAAGAAAAUGGUGGGUCAAAGUCAAACGCGGGGUCCACACCACAGGGACAGAAACAUGCAGCACGAAAUGACACGAAUCCACAACUGCCCCGCCGCCGUCGACGCAUUUGUGCUGAAACCUCAGGGACACACCGCAAAAUUGGAUUUAAUUUAAGAAGUUGUUUGUAAAAUAAAGAAAAGCAAAGGAUGAGUUGCCCACAAGUACACCGCACCUGUGGAAAAUAUAUAUCGAGAAAGAAAAAUGAAAAAACUACACCGUACAGGAGCAAUUUCUCAAAAGUGCACAUGUGGAUCACAAACUGAAGAAACUGUACUUACGUACUCCCUCCAUACCGUAAAACAAAUGCAAUUAUGGGAGGUUAAUGUAGUUUAAGUUUAAUCAAGUUUAUAGUGAAUAAUAUUUAUAUUUAUAUUUCUAAAUAAUUAAUUUAUGAAAGUAUAUCCUAUAACUUAUCUAACUGUACUUAUUUCAUAUCAUGAAUGUUUAGUAAUUUUUUAUAUAAACUUAGUCAAAGUUUAAACCGGUUGACUUCUCGAAAAGUAAGGAUUGUAUUUUUUUUAUGAAUGGAGGGAGUAGAAAUCAAUAUUUUGGAAAGACUUCUAGCUCUAGGAAUCAACCGUAGACAAACUGAGUUGAGUGCCCUAUGCUCUUUGAACUUUUUAAGGCCUUGUUUAGAUCGAAAAAGUUUUUGGAUUUUGGCACUGUAGCAUUUUCAUUUUUAUUUGAUAAACAUUGUCCAAUCAUGGAGUAACUAGGCUUAAAAGAUUCGUCUCGCGAUUUACAUAUAAACUGUGCAAUUAGUUAUUCUUUUUAUAUAUAUUUAAUGUUCCAUACAUAUGUCGCAAGAUUCGAUGUGAUAGGGAAUCUUGUAAAGUUUUAGGUUUUUAGGUGCAUCUAAACAAGGCCUAAGUUUACAGCUAAAAAGUUUUAGAAUGUAACAAUCUAAACAUGCCCACAAUAUAUAGCUACAACGAUCAGGGUUGUUUGGCUGUGAUCACGGCUGCUGCCGCAGCAGCUUUUUCAUUUCUUACUUGUUACUACAGCUGCACCUGAACAACCCUAGAGGUGGUGAUCGAAGAGAAUGGCAUGUGAUUCGGGUUUUUCCUCUCACAUCAGAUAGGAUUUGGUCAUUCUUGCAAAAAUAUUGGUAAAUACUAGGUUUCCUAUUAGGACUUGAGUAUUCUUUCUCUCUUUUUUUGCAACAAAUAAUAUUGAAGCUUCUCGGUUGUGUUGUCCAAUGACAGUUUAUUUAGGUUUCCUAUUAGGACUCAAGUUUUUUUUUUGCAACAAAAAAUAUUGAAGCUUCUCGAUUGUGUUGUCCAAUGACGCACCACUUGUCUCACCUAGCGCUCAAGUAAAUCGCAACUAAUUUUCAAAUAUAUGCUCUGUUCCAAAUUUCCACGGUAGGCUAUGUGGCAGCUUUUGUACUACGAUUUUUAUGGCGGCCUCGUCGGUAACCAAACAGAUGCCUCUGAUUGUUAUGGCGAGCCGCCACGGCUGUGGCGUGUCAACCUUUGGCAAUCAACCAAACACGCCCUCAAGUUGACAAGUGAAAUAUUUCUCACCAGAACCGUUUGUAAGUAUCAAGUGAAAAGUGAAAAUUUCUCACCAGACCCUCCAGUCAAAUAUUUCUCACCAAAACCGUUUGUAAUUCUCUAGUGAAAAGUGAAAUAUUUCUCACCAGACCGGUUUGUAAUUCUUUAGUGAAUCCGUUUGAAAUUCUUGAGUGAAACGUUUCACCUUGGCGUUUGCUAGCAAUUAUCAAACGCUCCUUAAGGACGCCAAUGUCCACUGCACAACUGCUCUAAAACAUUGGUUGAAGACAUGCCUGCCAAAACAUUUCUAACGAAAACACGAAAUUCCAUAGGCUUAGGAUAUUAGCACCCCAAAUAGAUGCAAAUAGCUCGCCCCGCACAAGAUGCAAAAAGCACACAACAUAGCCACCACACAGAUACAAUGCAAAUAGCGUCCACAUAAUAGUAGCGAAUUCACAGAUAUAAUAGUAACAGUAGCGAAUUGGACGCAUACAGCAACAUAGAUAUUGGAAAACUCCAAUCCAAUCUUCUCAGUUUUUCCAAAACAUUUCACGUCAUAAUCCGAAUCCAUUCUUCCAACAGUUUUUUUCCAAAACAGUUUUUCCAUAACCAUCCAUGACAUAAUCCAUACUAGAACAAAAAUAGGAUAGUAUUAUAUAGAUGAUAACCAUCGACAUGAGGUAAAGAUGAUAACAAGCAACAUGAGGUAAAGAGGGCAUGCCCGCCUAGCACUUAAUCUCCUUCAGACCAUGAGCAAAAUAGAGGAAUGUCGGGUCAGUGGCACCUUCCUUGUAGUAAGCGAACACUAGGCUUCCAUCAUCAUGCAUACUCUCACCAACAAAGCUAUUACACAGAAAAGUAUCACAUUAGACAAAGUUGUAUAAAAAUCAGGGUGAAAGCCAAAAAAAAUGUUCACAGAAUUAUGCAAAGCAACAUGAAUUUAAGACCACAGCAAAAUUAAGGUGCAGAUUUCAAUAAACCAUUACAUUGUGCAUGUAAAAUAGGUAUUGAAACAGCACAUAAACCAUUACAUUGUGCGUGUAAAAUAGGUAUUGAAACAGCACAUAAACCAUUACAUUGUGCGUGUAAAAUAGGUAUUGAAACAGCACACCACAGUAACAUAAAUAUAAAUAAAACUAUAACAGAUGCACGAAACAAUUAUGCAUGGCAAAUAAAUAAUCACAACGACAGACACAUUUGUCCAUGUGAACAUUCAAUGACCAAGACAAACAACAUAUGAAUUUAUUAACAAAAAGGAAAUGAACAAGACAACACAGUUUUUUCAUCUAAAUUGACUAGCAGAAAAGAUAGGAUGGUAGUUCACAUAGUAUUUUACUAACAUAAAUAAACCAACAAUAGAUGAAAUGUAUUUUCAACAGAUUAUGACAUGCAUUAUCUAUAGAUUUUUUAGUAUAUAACUUACAACUGAAGAUCUUUGAGCUUGCUAAGAAGGAACUUGGUGGCACCCUCAAUGCCCUUCUUGAAUUCAUCUGCCUUCUCUGGCUCCAGCUUGCCAGUGAGGUUCUUGAUGUAGCGCUUAAUGUUAGUCACAAAUGUUUUCUUGUCAAAUGUGGGUUGCUCCUGCAAACAGGAAUACACAGAUUAGUACAAAAAAAACUAUGCACAGAGUAGACUGAAGAAAAAACAACUCCUGCCACAUUUAGAGGGCAGCAACCUGGAGGCGGAAGGUGUCAACAAUGUCAACAACCCUUUCAGUCUGGUCAUCAACACCCUCAUCUUCACCACCCUCGGCAGAUGGAUUGGCACCAAUAUCCACAUCGACAGCUCCUUUGACGACCCACUGCAAGCAUCGAGCGCCAUGUAAAUAAAAAAAAAAAAAAAAACCAAACCAGCUCAACAACGUAAUGAACUAAGCAAAACAGAGUAUUAGAGCAGCACAUAUCAUGAGUCAUAUAUGUCUAUACUUUACUAAGACAGGUUCAUGUGCAAACUGAUAAUUGUCGGUGUUACCAAACAUACAGAAUACUCAAACUCAAGGCAGGUGCGCACAUGAAAAAUUAAGUGUUGGCAGCUGACUGCCAGUUACACAGUAAAGAAACACACAAAAAAAUCCUAACAGUAGCACACAUCAAUCUGAACCAGGAACAAACUACAUGACGUGCCACAUAAUUUGGUCAUGCAAGAAAAGCAGAAAAUAACACCAGGAAUAAACUAGAUGGUGUGCCACAUAAUUUGCUCCUACAAGAAAACCACAAAAUCACUAUAAAUUACAACUGAGGGCAGCACAAGCAGUACAUCCAGAUGCAUGGAGGACUCCCCCUAAACACACAGUACAUCAAGACUGAUGGAUGGCCGCCUACUCCCAUACUAAGCACACAGUACACAGGCUAGAAUACAUAAAUUCUCUAAUAAGCACACACGUUCGGUUCGGAUGAAGGAAUCAAAUACUAGAAUUCAUCAACCAAUUCUCUAACAAGUGCACGGCGUUUGGAUAAACGAAUCAUACCUUGCCCUCGACCUCCCAGAGGACGCCGUCAAAGAUCUCCUUAUACUGGAAGGAGUCGGAGAGGAGCUCGUCGCCUGCAAGACAUUAGACACAGCAACUCAAACUCAGCAGCAGACCCAAAAAUAAAAAAAGCCAAGGCAAAUAAACCGAUCUAGAUCGGCCACGACUAGACCCCGACGGCGAACGAGAUCCGCCACCCAGUUGCCAAUCGGGAGCCAGAGCCAAGCGAAACCAGACAAAGAGAGAGAAAAAAAAACAAAUCGGGUGAAAUUCACACGAACACUUACCAGAGAGCAGAUCCUGGUAGACCAACAUGGCGCCGGCGGCUCUCGGAACCCUAGCUCGCUCGCAAGUGGGUGGAGGAGAUGAGGCUCUCGGAGGCGCGGCAGCGUUGCGAGGGUUUGCGGGCGGAGGCGGCCGCGGCGCAUUUAUGGUCCCGGAGAAACAUCCGGGCCGCGGUGUCAGCCGUCCGAUCCGCGGCCCCGACGGCCCAGAUGCUCGAUCUGGCAUUCUGGCCGCUUUUUGGGAAAAGAGUCCCUUUCCUCCGGGGUAAUUCGGGAGGAGGAGUCCCUUUUUCCAUUUCCCGUGGGGACGGGUCGGGCGAGGCUGGGCCGUCUGAUCAGGGUAUCUGCGCCGGAUAUUCCCGCGUGGACGGCUGGGAUGUGCACGUGCGCCGCCGCCGUGGGGUCAGCGUUGGUGGCACGCAACCAUCGAUCGGGAUUUCUUUGGGAAAAGCCCCUGCCGGAACGGAAUCAGGCGUGCGCUGGCUGGCUGGCCUCCGCCGCGUCUCGUGCUGCUGCCGACCAGCCGAUGACCACGAGAAAAAAGGAUUUCUGUUUCGGCACCCAGCAAAAAUGGAUUGCUGUGCCAUAAGAAGGAUAGCUAUACUAAGGCCUUGUUUAGUUUGGGAAAAAUUUUGGAUUUCGCUACUGUAGCAUUUUUGUUUGUUUGUGGUAAAUAUUAUCUAAUCAUAGACUAACUAGGAUCAAAAGAUUCGUCUCGCGAUUUACAGGUAAACUGCGUAAUUAUUUUUUGUUUUCGUCUAUAUUUAAUGCUUCAUGCAUGUGCCGUAAGAUUCGAUGUGACGGGAAAUCUUGAAAAAUUUUGGGAACUAAACAAGGCCUAAGAGCAACUCCAAGAGAGUUUAUAAAAAUAGAUGGCUAAAUUUAAGAUUUAGCCAACUUCUAAAAUAAAAAAUUAUGAAAAAAACAAAAAUCUCCAACAGUCUUUCUAUACGGCAAAUCAUAUGGCUAGCGGGACAUGCAAGCUAUAUUUACCAUGCGAGAACUCCGGGAUAGAUGACUUGCUAUUUUAGCAAACCAAAUACAAUAGCUGUUGGACUCUCUUUUCUCUACCAAAAUAGCCAAAUAUAGAAUACAUAACAUGAAUAGUUCUUCUCUUGGAGUUGCUCUAAUUCGGUAUACUUAAAAUACACCUUUGGUACAAAAUUAACAAUCUCACAAGGAUGAAAUAUCAGUAACUUUCUAUUUAGGCCUUGUUUAGAUGCACCCAAAAACCCAAAACUUUGGCCUUGUUUAGUUUGCAAAAUCUUUUGUUUUUUUGCUACUGUAGCAUUUCGUUUUUAUUUGACAAACAUUGUCCAAUUACGGAGUAACUAGGCUCAAAAGAUUCAUCUCACAAAUUACAGGUAAACUGUGUAGUUAAUUUUUAUUUUCGCCUAUAUUUAAUACUUCAUGCAUGCGACCAAAGAUUCGAUGUGACGGGGAAUCUUGAAAAUUUUUGCGAACUAAACAAGGCCUUUAUAAGAUUCCCCAUCACAUCGAAUCUUGUGGCACAUGCAUGGAAUAUUAAAUAUAGAUAAAAAUAAAAACUAAUUACACAGUUUGUCUGUAAAUCGUGAGACGAAUCUUUUAACCCUAGUUACUCCAUGAUUGGACAAUGUUUGUCAAAUAAAAACGAAAGUGUUACAGUGUCAAAAUCCAAAAAGUUUUUGAAUCUAAACAAGCCCUUACUAGUGGAUCUCAUCUUUUAUGAAAUCAAUUUCUUUUUUGAAUAAAAAUUUUGGGAGCUCGGCAUGUCUGGAAGCACAGGAGAACGUUCUUUUGUUGAUAUUAUUACCAGUAUUCGAUACUGGGUUAUUCAUAGCAUUACUAUACCUUCCCUAUUCGCCCGUGCCGCAUCCCUGUCCAUUGCUUUGUUUGAGUGGUAAGUCAUGGCUGUCGGGUGAUUUAUUGUAAGAGAAAAACACCGUUGAAUGACUGGUAGAUUUGGCUGAUAAGCUCAAACGAACAAAGCUUAAACAUAAACCCCGUUCUAUGGAUCUCUUUAGAACACAAGAUUAUAGGAGUAAUAAUAUAAACAUAGGAGUAUGUCUUAUAACAUCUUGAGUCUUGUAAUAACUUGUGUCCUAACAUCUUGAUAAAUCAUGUAAUAACUUGAGAAAACACCGAGAACUUGCAAGAUUAAACAAGGAAAAACACAAUAUACUUUGAUAAGUGAGAGUACCACAAAAGAAUUUUUCAUGAGAUUUAACCUCCUUGUAAAUUUUCUCCAAAAUUCCUACGAAACAAGCUAGGCUAUCUUCUAAAUGGUUUGUUUUCAUUUUUCCUAUGGGAUAGGAUCUCAAUCCUCUAGAAUUUCACCAAUUUUUCAUUGUUUCAAAGGGGGCGAAAAGACAAAGGCUAAAGUCAUGUUUGUAUGGUCUGUAGUAGUAUUUUUAAAAAAUAAUCCAUAGAUACAGACAUUAUUGCAUAGAAGAUAAAAACAUGCAUCCUCAAUAACCCUUUGAGAAAAGCAUCUAGGAAUUUCUUUGCAACUAGAGUUGUCUUUAACUCUUGGGAUAGGAUCUUAGCAUUCAAAGAGUAAAGUUGUGGGUUGAUUUUUGUUGCUAAGCUUUGUAAGUACUCUGUCUAGAAGGACUAUACUAAAACGUAGGUUAAGGGGCGCACUCUCCUAGCACUUGAUCUCGCUCGGAUGUGAUGAGAAGAGAAGAAGAAGUUUGGAUUGUGGCACCAUCCUUAGUAGGCGAAGACCAGCCUUCCAUUAUGAUGCAUUCAAACAACUUAUCUUCCUUUUGUUGUUGUUUAUCCCAUCUUCCUUCUUUUUCCCAAUACUACCCUGUAAUUAUGUAAGAUAGCCUUUAAUUUAGAUCCGUUUUUCGAUAAAAAUAUAUAUAUUGUCCAGAUCUCUCACAAAAUUAUUUAGUUCCUUGUCGUCUUCUAUAUUUUUUUUUGGGAUUAGCUUGUACAUUCUACUAUCAAUUUGUAGCUCAACUUUUUUGCCCUAAAAUAUCAAUGAAUUCAUCACAAAUGCUACUAUUUGUCUAUUGGAGCCACUAGUGCCUCAACAAGCCUCUAGCAAAACAUUCACAUAUAUCAUCAUGCCAACACUUCUCGGCGCAUCAAGCCUUUCUAAAAAAAAAUUAUAGAACCAUCAUCGGUAACGUGCUCGCUACCACACUUUUGAUAACCAUAUGAUGCGAUCACAUUUAUUUUUACUUGUGAUCAAAGUUGAACGGUGUCUGUUGCUCUGUUGUGAGGCUCUCACGUAUCGAGAAAUCGAUGAACAAAUUACAUAUGAGAUAUAAAAAGCUAUUGUCUAACCCUCUCACAAAUUGUGCUAAAGCUUUUGUUGUAGAUCCCUAUAUAUAUUCAUGGUCUGGUUAAGAAGGCUCCAUUUUUCAGUGUAUAUGAUAUAGUUAAGACUAUCUCCAACAAUCAUCCCCAAAAUACAAGACCCAAUGGGUCUCGAGGAGAGAGGAUAUCUAAAUUUGGGUUAUGCCUCUCCUGAUACUUAAAAUGGGACUUUGUAUGGGUACUCUGUUGGAGGUUAUAGGUAUUGUGUUGGAGACCUAUUUUAUUUUAGGUUUGGAUUCCCAAAUAAGUGUCGUGGAGACAGUCUAAGAAGGUUUCACUUUUUAGUCGAGAGAUACCAACACAUAUCAAGUUGGUCUACUGCCUGGGGACUAUGCAUACACGAAGCCGUUGCUUCAUCGUGAUGGUGGAGCGUGACGCUUGAGUCAUGUCCACCGCCACGACGUCCGCCGUCGGCCACGAUUCCAGCUUCCGAAACCAUCCUCAGAAAACUCCAGCUCCCGAACCACCGUGCCGCUUAGUUGUUUAGUUUUGCUUGAGUGCUUCUCCAAUAGACUACUUAGCUUAUCCCAUCCAUAAUACCAAAAAUAUAAGAGAUUAUUAUUGAUAGAGGGGGUGAAUAUAUAUCCUAAUAUCUAAAAGUUUCAAGUAGUUUUGCUCAAAAUAUACUCCCAUCUCCCUUAAAUAUAAUGUUGGAGAUUCACCUCUUCUAUCAAUUUUAAAUGUGUUGAUAAUGUGUUGGAUAAGAAAGAGAAAAAGGCUAUAUACUAUUAAUAUAGAAGAUCACUUAUAUAAACUUAUUAUAGGAGAUUGAUGACAGGUAAUUUGUUGGAGACGCUCUAGCAUGCUCUUCCGUUCUGCCUGUGAAGAAAAAUUCUACAUAAAUAGUCGUUGUAAAUAUUAUUGGCCUUUUUCUUUUAUAACCCAUCUCAUGUUUAUUUUCUGACAAGAAGUCAAGAAAGACGUUGUGAGCUAGAUCUAUGUAUGGUGAUGAUGAUGCGAGCAUGCUUCCAUGGAGUGGUGCUUCACCAAUCAUCACGGCGGUGAACUCCAGCGCCUCCCCCCAAUAUGUCCAGUGCGGCGGCGGCGCCAUGCCAUCCACCUCCGAGGCUCCGACUACCACCCUCAAUGUCCAUGUGGAGCUAGCUAAUGCCUAGCGAUGAUGCGUGCACGGAGCGGCAGCUUCAUGACAGUGGUGAAGUCGAGCUCUUCCGCCAUGUCCACCGCCGCGCCGUCCACCGGCGGGCGCCACUCCAGGUCCCGCACCAUCCUCGCCACGAAGUACUCAGCAUGGUGGAUGCCGAGCGAGUAGCCGGGGCACAUGCGCCGCCCGGCGCCGAAAGGCAUCAUCUUGAUCUCCCGACUGCCAGUGAUGUCGACGUCGCAGCCCUCCCCGCCAUCCACGAACCGGUCUGGCCGGAACUCCCUUGCCGCUGUCCACACCGUCUCGUCGCGCCCGAUCUCCGCCACCAGGAAGUUCACCUCCGCGCCCCUGGGCACCUUGUAGCCGCCGACGUCCGCGCCGUCGUCGCCCCGCACGCCGUGCGGGAGCACGAAGUGGCCCGGCGGGUGCAGGCGCAGGCCCUCCAGCACCACGGCCUUAAGGUACGGCGCCAUCGCCUGGACCUGGACGUCGUCGCCAUUAGACGACCUCACCACCUCGUCGUGCACCUUGGCCUGCACAUCCGGGUGGUUCACUAGCUCAGCCAUAAUCCAUUCCACCAGCGUCACCGUCGUGUCCGUGCCGCCGUUGAGGAACUCGGAGCAGAGGCUGACCAUCUCAGCGUCCGUGAGCGGACGGUCACCGGCCUCCUCGGGCACUCGCAGCGCGCGGAGCGAGUCCGCGUAGCACGGCGGGUCAUCGUUCCCACGCGUGGCGUGGAUGAGAGGGACGAACACCUCGUCCUGCCUCCGCCGCACUGCGACGUAGGCCUCCCACCGGCUGCGGAAGAUCCGCUUGGUCACCGCGGGGAAGAAGGCGAAGACGGGGAAGGCAGUGAGCGAGAGGAGCGCCUGGUGCUGCAGCCCCUCGAUCUCGUCGAGCGCCUCCUGGCCCAGCCGCGCGCCGAAGCACAUGUAGACGAGCAGCUCGAACAUGGCACGGCGGAGGAACGGCCGCAACGUGACGGCGCGGCCGGCGUCGUCGUCUCCACCGGCAGCGCCAGCGUCGCAUAGCCUGUCGACGAGGCCGUCGCACGCCCACCGCCUGGCCGGAGCGAAGAGGGCGACACGGGCGGGCUGCAGCGCCUCGGCCGCGAGGUUGCGGCGCACGAGGCGCCAGUAGGCGCCGUAGGGUGAGGAGCUGACGUCGUGUCCGCCGGUGGUGAAGAGGCUGUUCGGGUCGACGGGCGGCGGGCGGUCCGCGAAGGUGGCGCCGCCCUGCACGAGGACCCGGUGCGCGAGGUGGCGGUCGGCGACGAAGACGAGGGUGCGGAAGAGGCGGAGCGAGAUGACGGGGCCGUAGCGCGCGUGCAGGUCGCGGAGCAGCGGAGCCAAGUCGAAGAUGGAGCGCCGCAGCGCCAGGAACUUGACGAGGAAGAGCAGCGCCGGUGGACCCGGCGGGAGGCGGCCGGCGUCGGCCUUGCGGUUCUUGCGGCCGCGGACGAGGAGGACCAACCAGAGGGAGACUAGGGCGAUGGUGACAGUAGUAGCGCAGAGGAGGAACAGAGGCGUCGUCGUGGAGGUGGAGUCCUUCUCCAUUGCUGGCGGCCUGGCAGAUCAGGGAAGCGACUGCUGUGGCUGCCGGUGGCCGAUGCCUCCGGCUCCGGUCAGGGAUUUGAUUUCUCGGCGCGACGUUAUCGGCGGCGCUUGGAAACGCAUGGCGACCUUUAAAAUUGCUGCUGCUCCGUUUUCGGGAGAGAAAUAUCUCGAUCGUACACUUGCCAGCAUCGCUGUCGGUCUUGUUUAGUGGUAAUUUUUUUUAUUUUAACACGAUAGUAUUUUCGUUUAUAUUUGAUAAUUAUUGUUCAAUCAUAAACUAUUUAGGUUUAAAUGAUUUGUCUCAUAAAUUAAAAUAAACUAUAUAGUUAGUUAUAUUUUUUGUUUAUAUUUAAUGUUUCAUACAUUUAUUUAAAAUUUUGAUGUGAUAUAAAUUUUUAAAAAAUUAGGAACUAAAACGAGACUAAAGAAGAAGCGUGCAUGGUGGAGCUCCAUCGGGAGAGGUGGUGCAACAUCAUAUCGUGUGUGGAUGGAGCGCACACGAGUUAUCUCGACGGUCGACGCACAAGAGUUUCCUCCAGAAUUUAUAGGAAACCGACGAACGCGGGAUGGAAUCUGUGCCUUGAGAAAAGAAAAAAAAAACUAGAUACUCCGUAUAAUUAAUCAGGGCUGGAGAGGCCAACUAUCCAGUUGCAGGACUGCCUUCGAUCACAGUUCAGGCCAAGUCAUCCACGAUGACUAAAGAGCACCUACCAGCAAAGAAACAGUGUAAAUUCUUGAUUUGAUUAUAGAAUCAAAGUAACCAAGUUUAACUGAGUUUUUAAACCUAGUAUCGACAUUUAAGACUCCAAUCAGGGAUAUUCUAUAAAAAAAAAUAUUUAUUAUUUUACGACAGAUACAGCGAUACAUAUUUAGUAUGAUACAAAAACUUAAGAUAGCUUGACCGAGCUACUCUACAAUUGUCUUUUUAAGGGUGCAGAGAGUACAUUGUUAUUAUAUCUCUAUAUAAACAGUACAAAAACCAUUCCCUACAAGCUGCCACAACAGUUUCCUACACACCAAAAAUACAUAAAAGAUCAUAUGGCAACUGGCUCUACACAUGCCACUGCACGUCGUAAAAUAUACAACCUCAAUCUAUCUUUUAAACGGCUGCCCUGUUUGGAUCCCAUAGUCUGAAAUUUAUCCAUUAAACUUUAGAUCACUUUAUUAGGACAAAGAGUCUAAAGUAUUAUCUAAGGUUUAGAUAACCUCUCAAAAAUAUUUUAGACCAUAAAAGCUAGCUAAAAUGGCCUAAAGUUUGAGUCUUCAAUUUUAACCGACUAAACUUUAGACUAGAAUCCAAACAGGCCCUAACCUCGGUAGAUUAUUAGGAUAUGUAGUGUGUGUGUGUUUUCCAUUGGAUUUUGGUUUUAUACCCUCGAUACUCAGGAUAGUUAAUCCUGAGCUCAUCUUCCAGGUUUAGAAGAAAAACAUUCUAGUAAAAUGAGGAAACUGUUCCAUUCUUAUUUCGAUGAGAAAAAAAUUGCAGCACUUAAAAAGUUACAAUCAAAUGAAAAAAAUGUUCAUAUGGUGAGAAUGUGUCCCAUUUGAAUAAAAAUGUCUUUGGCUAGAAGAUGAAAACAUGAGUUCCGUACAAGCAUAAGAGAAAAGAAAAAAAAAUGUUCCAUCCCAAAAUUUAGCCAUUGUUUGUAUUAUGCCCCAUCCACAAGACAAAUUGUUCCAUCCCAAAACUCAGGACUUCAUAUCUUUAUUAUCAGAAAAUGGUACACAAUGGAAAUAAUGUUUUUAAUUUAAUUAUAGUAAAAAGUAUAUAUGUGCAUGUGACAAGCAAAGUAUUAUGGGAAACUAAUAAAAAACCAACGUAUAUUUCAAAGCAGGGAGAGAUAAAUUAAUUAAGAAAAAAAGAAGAAAAAAAUAUAAAAGAAGGGAAACCAAAUUGAAAAUGUAAUCCUCCAUGGAAAGAAAGAAAACAAACAAAUAAAAAUUAAAAUAAAACAAAGAGAGAAACAAUGGAUUUAAAUAAAUGAAAAUAUUAAAUAUCAAAUACCUGGACUCUAAAGUCUAAACUCGGAAUUCACGUGGCACUUGGGCCGUAGCGGCAUCUGCAGAGACAAAGCAAGUGGGCCUUCGAAUUUGACUACUACGGUCUACGGGCCAAGAGAGCAGGUUGGGCUUUGGUACAGACCGUACAAGCUAGGUAACACUGCACCAGGACCAGGUGCAGACGGCGACUCCUUCCAAAGAUGGUGACACGAGGCGACACCAAAGGAAAUCAGUGUGUGUGUUGGAGUGACGACACCGUCCAUGUCCAUUCAUGCAAAAAUACUAACCCCAGCCGUGGAAUCAGCAUCUAAUCAGACCAUUUUUUCUAUCUAACAAUGAAACGACGCACUGGACGUUCGAGGGGAAAAAAGAGAAUUUGUUAGCACAGUAGAUAAAACAUAUCUAGGAUACCAAAAAGAAAUUGAUUUUAUUUUUUGAAGGGCAGUGCUUCCAACCAGCAGAGAUUAAAGCUCUGGUUUUUGUGCAAGUGCAACAGGAGACUGACUUCACACGCUUUGGUUCUUGGUAUUAGCUAAGCACAUCAAUGCACCGCCCUGGAAUCAAAUGCACCUCAUGAUCACAGGAAUUAUUAUUAUCUAUCUACUGCAUAUGAGACAGCAUGGUACAUGUGAUGGAAAGUUGAGUGACAGACAGGCUUCAAGCGCUCUUGCAUUGACAAUGAUGGAAAGAACAUUCAACAACUUGAAGAGCAUUCCUCGACGGUCUUGGUGCUUGAAAGUAUCAUUGUCACUGCUAAGCUGGCUGUUCGUCUUUUUAGCAGAAUUGCAUCUGUAUGCUUGUCAGCUAGCCUGCAAAAUACAAGGCUUGACACAUUUGAAUAAAAAUGUUUUAGAAGAAAUGACAUAUAUGAAUAUAGAAGGAAGCUUUAGAUAAGCUUUGUGAUAAAGAGAAGGUCAACUGAUCCAAAAGGAGAGAUGAAAAGCACCCAUAGUAAACUGUAAACCUAAGCCACUCAGUCACUCAAGAGGUGAAAACAGACGCUCCCUCCCUCCUGUGUACAGGCUGUCCCUCACUGCACUGGUUUGAAUGGCGCCCUCAAAGAAUCGGAAAAAAUCCCAAUUCCUUUGUGUCAAAUCAGAUUCCAUUGCAUCUAAUUUGACAUUUGGCCUCAAUUUUUUCAUUGUAUAUAUCAUAUGGACAGCAAUAGAAUUGGGAGAUUCUAUUCCCUGCUAGCUAGCAAGUAGCAGCAGCAGCUAGCAGCCUAGCACAGCAUCCAUCCAGUUCCUCCUUCCUUUUGAAAAAGAGCAGGAAAGAAUCAUCGUUUCUUUACUGGUAGUAGAAUAGAAUUCAGGUAGCAGGCUGUAAAGCACAGUUUCUUUCAGGAUUGCUGGAUGAUUAGUCAUACAAUAGCUAUUAGGGCCAGUAUGUAUUGUACUGCUGUUGUUAUUUACAAUAUCCGGCCAGCACCGGCAGGUAGUGACAAGUGAGUUGAAUUAGUCUGCAGAUAGAGAGGAGAUGAGUGGUGACAAAGUGACGAGGCCUCCUUCGUCUCACUCACAGCUAUGACCAGCUCAGCCUAUGCUGCCCCCUUGAUGGCCUGCACAUCUCUCUUCAGGUUCAGAGUCUGCCCUGCCUAUGGAAAUCUUGGUCAGUGCAGUGUUAGGUGCAGGCCGAUCCUCAACCUCCAACCCUUGAUUCGAUAUCAUUUGCACUUGCAGCACCAACUACUGCCUCUUUGUUUGCAGACGAAAAGCAACAGGAUAUAUAGUAGCUUCGACCUUGUGCAAAAAAAGCUCUAAUUCAUAUUCAGUAGUUGCCCCUCUGAAUUAAUGAAUGUCUGAAUUGGUUGUAAAGAUGAAAAGCAACAGGAUAUAUAGGAGUAGCUAUAGUAAAAGAAAAACGACCUCAUAUUCAGUAGUUGCCACCCUCUGAAUAAAUGACGAAUGAAUGAGUGAAUUGCUGAAUUGGAUGUAAAGAUUCAGUCAGCAAAGCACACGGCCGGCCGGUGCGGAGGCGAGGUCAACCGCAACUUGCAGCUGGUCCAGUUGUGGAUUGCUUUACAGUUAGUUGUUGGGGAGAUGAGAAUCAUCAUCAUCAGAAGAAAGUAGCCAAGAUUCAAUCGACGAGGAAACACAAGAGUUCACAAAUGCUAUGCUAGCUCAAACUCAUUGCUCAUACAACAAUCUCUUCUGCUAUGCUCUUCAGCAUUCACAAGAAUUAAAUUAAUACACACACAAACUAACCCAACAAAGAUGUUAGUUUUUUACAUACAGGCUCUUCAUCCUACAGGACAUGAGAAACAAGAGAGGCGUUUUUACUGGCAGGGCAGCAGUACAAAUCAAAGAAUGGUACAGUACAGGGCAAUGGGGAAAGAACAAUUUGUGAUCCCCAAAGCAAGCAAGCAAGCAAGCAAUUCAUCGACGAUCGCCGCCCGCGUCAGAAGGAGUGCUGGUGCUGCGGCGGCACGCCUGACGCAGAGGAGGCGGUGGCGGUGCCGGCGCGCGCGCUGAGGUCCAUACAGCGGACGACCUCCGCGCGGCAAGCGACGACACGGUGGAACACCGCGCGCACCUGCCGCUCCAGCGGCGCGAGGCCGUCCUCGAGCGCCCGGCACGCCGCGGCCAGCUCCUCGGCGCGCUCCGUCACGUCCCGCGCGCGGUCCUCGCUCACGAUCCCCUGCCGCCGCCGUUCCUCGUCCUCCUCCCCUUCUACUUCCUCGGUGAUCUCCUCGAGCACGCUGUUGAGCUCGCGCGCGGCGCGCUCCAGAGUCUGCAUCUCCGCGAGCAGCCCCGCCGUGGGCGCGGAGCCGGAGCAAGACCCUUUCUUUUCCUUGCGCCUCCACUCCUCCGCGAUCCGGUCCUGCAGCGCGGACAUGGGCGCCGCCCACUGCGCCUGCUUGGGCGGCGCGACGGGCGGGUUGCUGGCCGCGGACGCCCGGUCCUGGCACGGCACCGCGCCGACCAGCGCCCACAUGGCGAAGACGAGGACGGAGCUCAUGGUGUAGAGCGCGAGUCCGAGCCCGCACCCCGCCCCGGCGGCGGCGGCGGCGGCCGACGACUGCGGCGGCGGCGCGAGGUGCGCCGCCAUGGCGUUCAUGUGUCGGCCCGCGGACCAGUUCUUGGAGACGCUGAGGGAGAGCGCGCGCAUGGUGCGCGCGGAGGGCGAGGCCGCGGAGCAUCCGGAGGCCUUGGCGGUGUUGGGGGAUGCGUCGUCGGCGGGGAAGAGCCUGGCGAUGGCCCUUCGCGCGCGGGCGAGGUGCGCGGUGUGGAGCGACGGCGCGAGAAGGAGGCAGGAGGCUGCGGCGAGCGCGGCGCGGUGCGCGGCCCGGAGCGAGGCGAGCGUGAGGGACGCGGCGUUGAGGACGUCGAGCGUCUUGACGGCGCGGUCGAGGAGGUCGGUGGCGAGGCGGUCAGCGGGAGGCCUGGCGAGCGCGGCGGCGACGGGGGUGAGAGCGAGGACGCCGCGGAAGGCGGCGUCGGAGGAGACGACGGCGUCGAGGAGCUUGGAGAGGAAGGGGAGGGAGAGGAGCGGGGCGCCCGGGGUGGCGCCGUGCGCGGAGAGCGCGUUGAGACGGUCGGCGACGUGGGACUGGAGGGCGUCGAGCGCGAGGAGCUCGUCGUCCUGCGCGGGGUCGAAGGACGCGACGGCGGUGGCGCUGCGGCGGAAGCUGAGCAUGCCGAAGAAGCCCGUCCCGGAGGGCGGCGGCAGCUCGGCGGCGGCCAUGGGGCUUUGCCUUUCUGGGAAGAGGAUGAGGAGGAGGAGGAGGAGGAGGGAGGCGGAGUCGUGGUGGUCGGAGGGAAAGGAAAGGAAGAGUGGAGGGGAGGGAAUGGUGGGGAACCCCGCCUUCUUCGGGGCCGCCAUUUAUACGGGCCUCGACGAUGACGGCCGGCGCGCAUCCCCCUCGGGCCUCUGGGAGGCUGACGCGUGGGUCCACGGGAAGUUGGGAGCCACGUGUCAGUGAGAGGACGGAGGAGACGCGGGGAGCGGCGUGGACUGGUUCGUUGGAGGCGGAGGCGGCUGACUUGGUUGCCUCCCACUACGUCUACGUGUUUCGCCUGCUGACUCGGCUCGCCUCUCUUCUCUUCUCUUGUCUCCUCUUGCUCCAUGGGGCAACGGACCAUUUCCAUUUUCUUUUUUUUUUGUUUCCAAUUCUUCUUUUGUUUCCCUAUGUUUUGGACAUAAACUUACCGGUAGCUGUUCUCUGUGUGUGUCUUAUCUUAUCUUAUCUUUCUUUCUUUGCAAUAGAGAUUAUGGCAGUGACGGAUCUUGGCGAUUUAUCUCAAUCUUGGAAAUGUUGCAGAAUAUCUAAAGUUCUGACCAAAUUUAUUCUUAGAAGAAAGUAGCAAUAUUUAUAACACCAGAUAUGUACAUUACAAAAAACACAUUUCAUGACACAUCUAAUAAUACUUAUUUGAUACUAUGGUUUCGAAAAAAAAUACUUAUUUGAUGCUAUAAAUGUUUUACUUAAUCAAAUUCAAUAGGGAUUGACUUGAUACUCUGCUAUGACUAUAUAAUUUACUAAACGGAGGGAUCACGUUACAAGCAAUUUGUUCUUAAUUAUAUUAGUAGUCAAGGAGUGAAAUUAAACCUUUCAUCCUUAACAACAUUUGAGGUGGAAGGGGAGGGGACAAUCCAUUUUGUCUUAAAAAAACUCCAUCCCUUAAAGCACCUAAAAGUUAGAAAGAAGUUGAUGAUAGAAAUAAAAAUUGCUAGAAAAGUUGUAUAUCGUUUUAAAGUAGUCGUUUUCUUUCAAAUUACACUACACUAAACGAAUGUGUUGACAAGUAUAUGUGGAAGAAGCUCCAACCUUGAACAUGCUGCAAAAGAGGGCUCAGGUUGCCACUCCAAGACACGUGUAUGCUUGUGAACUAUCAUUUGUAGCUUGCUUAUAUAGGAUUUGAAUAAGUCCGUGCUUGCAUCACCAUUGUGUGACUAACUCAAAUUAUGAUAUCCGAAAGCUGUCUAACUUCAUAUAGUGCUCCUAUUAGUUGUAUGAGCCCCCGGUAUCCUCCUCAGCCCAUAGGCCGCUAGUGCGAGAAGAGUGAGGAGGAGGCCCUCCAAAUGAGGAGGAAGAAGGGGUGAUCGUGGAAAAGAGAUAGAGGUAGAGAUAGAGAGGAGGCCGACCGGUUGGACAGACAAAGAGACAAGACAUUUUCUUUUAUUUUUAUGGUUUCCACUUAUAAAUCCUGAGUUAAUCAAACAUAUUGAGACCACAUAAAUAAGUGAAAUCAAAUCAUUUGCGUAGGAUCAGAAUUAGACUUGUAUAUUACAGGUGCCCUAAAGAGAGAUGAUGAAGGAACGUAAGGAUCCGGAGGAGCAAGAGGAAAGGAAAAAAUAACGAUGAAAUGAGGAGGAAGAGCUAGCCCCCAUCGGAUCAUUGUAUUUGUAUCUGCCAUUAUGUGUUUUUAUUUCCUCUUUUCACUCAAUUUCAUACUUUAGUAUAUAUCCUUUAUUUAAAUCUUUAAUAACAAAAAGGAGCAAAUAUAUACAGCCAGCAUUGAAGCGGCAUGAUCUGUAUAAUAAUCUACAGCUAACGCGCAUACCAUUUCAUAUACUGAAUAUAGUUAAACAUUAAUUGAUGUCCAUAUCCGAAGUGAACAUAUAAAUGUGUCUACUGCUAGCUAUGUGUUAGUAUUAUAUAUUACUCCUCCUACAUAGGAGUACCCUGUACGUACAGUGCCAGCUGACUUAAAAAAAAACACAGAAGAACUAACUAGCUUGCUGAUGUUUGACGCACGCUCUUAGCUGGCUCCAAAGACUCAGCAAACGGAGUAUGAAAUAAAAUGGAGCCUCCCUAGCUGCUUGCGUGCACGAAGCGCACCAACUUAACUCAUGAGAACACCUACGCUUUUGUUUUUUAUACGUGAUGAUUUUGUUCCCCAUAUGUGAGUGUGACAUCCGUUUGUUUUUUUUUUGUGCACGUACGACAGCAAAGAAACAGGGGAGAGGAGAGGAGGAGCACACCCCAAGCGGCCGGCCAAACCCAAAGUAACCGGACAUGGCAAGCUAUGGGCUAUAUAUGGCAUCUGACUAAUAAUCAUCUCUUUGAUGAUGGAUGGAGAAGAAGAGUGUGUUUGGUAGCGCUCUAGGGAUUAGCUUCCUGUGCGCAGGCAAUCAAACGCCUCUGACCCGUUCUGGUCCGCUGGUGAAGUUUUGGAAAUCCCGUCAAAAGGAGUGUAGAAGCCGAAAACAUUUUGUUUCGUCGGACCCUCUCAAUUUUGUAGGGACAACACGUGGGCGAGGUCCAAUUUGUCCCAACGGCACAUCAACAAGGGCAAGGCUAGCGAGCGCGGUGUACGGAGAGGAGACAGGGCAUGUACUGGUGGCAUGAAGCCGGAAAACAGCAACAUUAGCGAGUUUGGGGGUAGGAGACGAUGGCACAAGCGAGACUAGCCAUGUGUGAACUAGCGCAGAGGUGUGGUCAUGUGGGGAGGUUGUGUUAGAGCGCCAGUCACAAAGAGAGGCGACACAUCCAUGCGAAGAAGAUAGAAUGGUAGAGAAAGAUAGGCAAGGCUAUUGCGCCAUGUGUGUGUAGCUCUGUCCGUCGCGCGGUGGUGAUAAGGUGGAAAGUGGAAAGAAUAGAGAGAAAUAAAUGAGAAAAUUAAAGGGAGAAAAGGUAUUAUGGAUAUUUCAUCAUUUUCAACAACUAGGAUAUUUUUGUAACGAAUGAAACUAGAAUUUUAAAAUUUAUUUAAUCAGAGAAGUUAUAGUUGAAGCUCAAAAAGAAGGGGAAAAAAGACCUAGACGGUGAAGGCAAUAAUGCAGAUAGCGCACACACGGGCAGGGCCUCUUUUGGUGUUAGCCUUAAUCAGGUGGUACAAUAUAAAGAAGGAACUACUGCCAGUGCCAUAUCCAUCAUCCAACCGUCUUACUGCUCCUCCACACAGCAUUAUAUUGCAAGAGUCAGUACAGCACUUGACGGAAAAUAUGAAAUCCAAUCCCCUUUGCUGUGUAGCGUAGUACUGUAGUUACUAUAUGCGCCCAGACGCACGUGAUGCAAUGGAAAUAUAUAGGCCUUGUUUAGUGCGCAAAAUUUUUCAUUUUUAGCUACUGUAGCACUUUCGUUUCUAUUUGACAAUCAUUGUCCAAUCACGGAGUAACUAGGCUCAAAAGAUUCAUCUCACAAAUUACAGGUAAACUAUAUAAUUAGUUUUUAUUUUUAUCUAUUUAAUACUCCAUGCAUGCGACCAAAGAUUCGAUGUGACGGAGAAUAUUGAAAAUUUUUGCGAACUAAACAAGGCCAUAGUAUGUAGCAGCCUGCAUUUACAUUUCCAGCCACACCACUCUGUGCAUAUAGAAAUCAUCCGCAUUGUAAAAACGACAGGAAGAGGCUUAAUAAAAAAACAAAGCAAAAGCAUGUCUUCCAUGCAUGUUUGUGCCGCCUGAUCACUAUACUUAAGCUCAGCCGAGCCUGUAGUUGACUCGGCAAUAAGAUUAGAGGUCCCCUCAUCAUUCAUCAAUAUAAUCUCAAAGCAGUUCUACGUGAAAAGUUAUUAUUAUUUUUUUCCAUGAAAGAAAUCGUGUAGAAAAGAUCUGCUGCUUCAUCACCAAAUUAAUACAUCUCUUCCAGCAGGUUAGUCAAGGCUUAACUCACUCUACUGGUCGUAUAUUCUUAUGUGUCCGUGAUCAUUUUUCUCCUUUGAAAACGUGGAUCGCACGUAUAUAUUUAUUUCAACCAAAUAAGAUAGCUAGAGCAUCACAGCGACUGGACCAGUAAAAAGAAAAAACAAGAGAGAAUCCACGACUAAUCUCUCUUUACCUGCUGGUACGUAGUACGGCAGAGGUAAACGCGCUGACCUGGCCAAGGGUGACUUGGUUUCACUCUCACCAUCGUGGACGCGGUCGUGAUAGCCAAAUAGGCGCAGCAGAUCCCUACACGGCUGGCUACACUAUACAUAGGGCCAUCCCGUCCGCUGACUGUGGAGACCCCACGGAUUAUAUAUGCGGGCUGGCUUUGUAGGACAUGGUGUGCGCGUGUCACUGUCACCUACCAAAGGCAGGGGAGGGGAGGGGAGUAGCGGACGGUGACGUGUGCAUCCACGAAAAAUUUGUCAACUCAAGUACUGAACUCUGUAAACUGUAAUACGUACUAGUACAUUAGAAGAUACUAUGACUCGGGACUCUUAAUUGGUGCUUGGGCGGCGCUCGUACACGUAUGUGCACGGCCUCUUCAUAGGCUGAGCAAUCUACAAUACAUUCGUUCGUUUGUUUAUUCACGUAGAGAGAAGUAGCGAAACAUUACAUAUACUCUCUCUUUGCAUGUUUACAUGUAUUAAUUUUGUUCUAAGAGCAACACCAGCAGUAGUCCCAAAAAUAUGGUCCCUACUUUUUAUAGGUGCUUUCCCUAUUUUUUUGGGUGCUCAAAAUUUUUUGCUUCCACUCCAACAACACCCCUCAAAUAAAGGCCUCCAAAUCUAAAUUGACAGAUAAUGACAUGUGGGAUCCAACGUCAUUGGUCAAACCUUUCUUCCUCAUAUCCUCCACACAGAGGCCGGAACGUAAAGGAGAUGAGAGCUCUCAGCGCAUCAGGGGCAACGCUCACGUGGCGGAGAAGAGGCCGCGCCGAAGUUGCACAUCGACGAAUCUACCCAGUGGUGGAGGUCAGGGGUGGAGGGAGGGAGCACGGUAGUGGAGAUUAGCGCCGAAGGGAGGUGGACGAGGCUGCGUUUGUAUGGUGUGGGGAGGUAAUGGUUAGUCCACACAGGAUGGGGGCUAGGCUGUUGGGCCAACAGAAAUGGGUCUACAAGGAAGAUUUGGGUGCGCGCUCCAAAUUGGAGACACUAGUAGGGGCUCUCAUGGAGUGUUGCUUUUCGACUGAGCACCUAUAUUUAGUUAUAGGGGCUCAAGUAGAAAGUCUUGCUGGAGUUGGUCUCAAACAUCUUCAUCUUUAACCGUCAAUUAAAAAAAGGGUAUAAGUUACCAAGAUAAAGGUUUGUAACGAAAGCUCCGUUCGUAUGGCAUGGCGAUGGAGCUUUUUUUUUUUUUUGACCUCAAGCGCGAGCGCCUCUCUGUAAACUCCUAAGUUUUACCAGUUUUGUAGUUCCAGCAUCACUCAAAUUAAACAUGGCGGCCUAUCAUUUCAGUGUCCUCUAGCUAAAAUUAAACCACAAUGUCACUGUCAUCUCUGGCAAAAAUUAAAUUUGCCUCAUUAUUUUUUAAAAGAAUAAAUAUAAAUCGACAGGGUAAGCUUUGCAGUCUGACCGGCCGCUGGCGUGAUAUAUUUAAUUGGCCGGCAGAGAGAUGCAUGAGAGACAGAUCAUGUAUGAGGCCUCGAUUAGUUACAUCCGAAAUCCAUUUUUUUUAAGAUUUACCAUAACAUCAAAUCUUUAAAAUAAUAACUAAUUAUACAAUUUAUCUGUAAUUUAUGAGAUAAAUCUUUUAAGUAUAGUUAGAUAAUAAUUACCAAAUACAAACGAAAAUACUAUAGUAUUUAAAAACUUUUUAUUGGAGGAAACUAACAUACGUCAGUGUGCCAAGGCCAAAGCCGAGAGGUUGAUGCGCAGAUGGCAGUGAUGGAUGGAGCAGUGAGAGGAUCGGAGGUGAUGAAUUGAAUGAGUGCAUGCGCGUAUAUAGAUACGUGGAUCACACGAUCGAGCAAGCGAGCGACGACGGACUCCAUCUGCCUGCCUGCCGUGUCCAGACGAUCGACUAGCAGCAAGACCGUAGUAUAAUACUGUACGUAGAUGCAUGCUCAGCUACUCGUUCGUCUGUCUGCCUUGCUUUUUAAUAAUUAAUCCCUUCUUGUUCUUACCUACACGUUUUUUACCAAGACCCGAUGGAUGGGAACUGAAUGGAAUUGACAGAUGAGAUGAACAAGAACAAUUAAUUAAUAUAUGCAUCAUCAGCUAGCUGAUCAGCAUCAGCAUCACCCCAAUCUAUAUAUGCAAUCUAAAAAUUACCAGCCUGCGAAAACGACGAACCAUCCUCUGCCGGCCACUCUCGUAGAUAUAUAUUUUUUCCCAUGCAUCAUGCAUGUAUGUAGAAUAUCUGUUCCUUGUCUGCGCCGGCGCCAGCGUCGCCGUCACGGCCGUCGCUUCACCGCUCCACCACGCGUAUACAAAUACAAUAAGGCAUUGUUUACAUUCAAUUUUUUUUUAUUUUGAUACUGUAGCACUUUUGUUUUUAUUUAUGAAACAUUAUUCAAUUAUGGAGCAACUAGGCUUAACAGAUUCGUCUCGUGAUUUACAGAUAAACUAUGCAAUUAGUUAUCUUUUUUAUCUAUAUUUAAUGUUCCAUGCAUAUGCCGCAAGAUUCGAUGUGAUAGUAAAUAUUGUAAAGUUUUAGGUUUUUAGGUGUAUCUAAACAAGGCCUAAUACAGGCGAAGACGGCGCCCCUGCCCACCGGCUCGCCUCCGGCACUCAGCGGCACCCAUCGACAGCAUGCAGGGUGUUUGGUUAGGGGCGUUAAAAUUUAGCAUAUACGUAAUUAGUGUCUAAUCAUGCUAAUUAGACUCAAAAGAUCUGUCUCGUAAAUUAUUCUUUAGCUGUGUUUUUAGUUUUGUAAAUAGUCUAUAUUUAAUACUUUAUGUAUGUGUCUAUAUUUAAUACUUAUUCAAAAGAAGGUUAAUCUAUGAAGAAGAUGAGUGGGAGGUGUUUACUUAGGCUCGCAAAGAUGAAACGUAUGCUAGAAUGCCAAGAGAGUGAUCUCCAAGCCGGCCAACACGUAUUUCUAGCCCACUCAAACAAAUAGAGCCGUUGGCUCUUUCACUCGGCUGAAAUCGGAGUCACCGGACGCGCCGCAGGGAACCACCGGACGAUCAAGCCCAGCGUCCGGUGCCCUGAAAACGGCCACGUGUCGUCCUUUUUACUUUCACGCGUCGAUCUCUUAACACUCACCUGCAGACCACCGGACGCGUCCAGUACUCACCGGACCCUUGCGCAGAGAGGUCCGCAAAGAUGCUCGAUCACCGGACGCUGAGCACCAGACUCGUCCUGUGCUCACCAGUCUCAUACACAGAGAGGUUCGCAAGAUGUUCACACAUCGGACGCUGAGCACCGGACUCACUCCGGUGCGUCUGGUGCCCAUCAGAAAACUGCGCAGUCUAGCGCACCAACCCUAACAAGCACCGGACGCGCACACAGUAGAUCUUUUAUGUCCCGUGCAGAGCGUCCGGUGCACUCUGCUCUCUUUGGUCAGACACCGACAAUGCACCAGACGUGUCCGGUGCCUCUGUGCACUGCGUCCGGUGAAUGUUUUUCUAGUAAGAAACACUCCCGCGACUUCCGAAAGACUUCCAUCGACGUAAUAGAAAAUAUGCCUUUUAUUUUCUCAAAAGCGCCGAAUUCCACCUCGCAAGCUCGGCGGAAGGAAAAGUGAAACCCACACCCAUCUCUACUCUUCAAACUCCACCUCCUUUUUAAAGUUGGCCCUUUAAGUAAUGGCAUCAUAUCUAGUGCAAACUAUAACUUUCGUGAAAACCUGUGUAAACCACGACAAAAAGGCUGUCUAAAUUCACCCAAAAAAAGCACACAUGUUGAUGUUAUGAUUAUACACAACCUUAUAAAAUAUCUUGUCCAAAUUCGAAUUCAUUUAAGAGAUAUAAAAAU
This 38363-nucleotide long non-coding RNA is filed under the name Sorghum bicolor (sorghum). RNAcentral describes it as "long non-coding RNA (SBIC_LNC005894)". Lineage: Eukaryota; Viridiplantae; Streptophyta; Magnoliopsida; Poales; Poaceae. The record is from RNAcentral.